Trachemys scripta elegans is the source of this 1238-nucleotide long non-coding RNA. RefSeq lists it as uncharacterized. Lineage: Eukaryota; Metazoa; Chordata; Testudines; Emydidae. The transcript is spliced from 4 exons. The record is from RefSeq and is a predicted model, not a curated record.
AGCUGAAAAACAAUAUUUUUAGAAGCUAUGUCUUUGGGGGUCAGAGUUCAGGUGCUUAUUAUUUAAUGAUGAUGUUCACGUAUCAAGAUUUUUUCCUAGAGGAUGUAUGAAUUGUAAAGCAAAGUCCAGGACUAGAAAAGCUGAGUCAUCUUUUUGACCCUGAACUUGCAAAUGCGUAUGAAAGGCUUUGUGGAGACAGCAGGAGCAAAACAGAGUAAGGGUUUAUUUUGGUCACUGAAGUCAGCAGAUCGGACUCCACUGCAGACAGGAAGCAGGCUGCCAGUUUUACAUUGCCACUCUCCUGAGCAUCACUGCACUUUCCUGCAGGGAACAGCUGCGCCUCUGUCCGACUCUGCUGGGACGCUCUAGGGAGGAGAUAGAUGUCAGUUCAGUCCUCGGAGGCUCUGCUGAGAUUGCCAAGGAGGCCACUUGACACCAGUGAUGAGCAGCCACUUCAUGCAGAGCUAGACUGAGAAACCAACUUCACCACAGUAACUUUGGCUCGCCACAGACCUGGGGGUGAUCGGAACAAGCAAUAGCCCCAUCAUCAAGCCCCUCCUCAUCCAGACUGCAAGGCCAUUCUUACAACUCCGUGUGGCUCCCAAAGGUUUAAUUUGAACAGCAGAGUAUGGAACCUUCUGCCUCCACGUGUAUUUUGUGUUUAUUGUUCAGUCACAUUUAGACACCCUUCCCACCACUGCUUGAGACCUGGGGAAAUUUGAUUUUGAGUGUUUCCCCCAGACCUCACCUUCUGUAUAUGAAGCUGACAGGAGAUGGUGCUGCUGUUCAAUAAAGGGAGAUUUGAGUCCAAAAGAGAGAUUUGCUGACAUUUUGCAAACCAGUCCUGCUAAGCACAACUACAGAAAAAAGGGAGUUAGAAGCAGAUGACUCAAGGGUCAGGCAUGAGAAAAGGAGCUUUACACCUCUAGUUCAUCAGACUGAAGCAGCAGACAUUAGAAACCACUGCUACUAUCCUAUGGCCAUUCACUGUGAAAAAUGGUUAAGACGCCUCAGUGCAUUUCCUAGUAUAGAGUUACUCACAUAAUUUUUUCUACAUUGUUCUUCGUAGACGUAGUCCUCCCCCAGCCUUCCCUGUUAUGGGACUGUAAAUUUAGACAAUCUCAUUACAGUUUUAGGUGCAUGGAACAGGGCUUGCUUUGUUUUGUAAAGCACCACAUACAUUUAAACAAGGAGUCUGGUGGCACCUUAAAGACUAACAUUUAUUUGGGCAUAAGCUU